Molecule: long non-coding RNA, 502 nt
Filed under: Panax ginseng (ginseng)
Lineage: Eukaryota; Viridiplantae; Streptophyta; Magnoliopsida; Apiales; Araliaceae
Description: long non-coding RNA (PGIN_LNC011343)
Source: RNAcentral
UAAGAUGUCGGUAAUUAGAAGAAAACCCUAAUUACUGUUGUUUGUCGAUAAUUAGGACAAACCCUAAUUAUUACAACCCUAAUCGGUUGAAGUUAGAGAUCGUAAUGACUGUGUUAGAACAUACACAGAUAAUUAGAGAACCCUAAUGGUCAAUUAGAAACCCUAAUUGAUGGCGUUAAGAAACCCUAAUUAUAGAACCCUAAUUUUUUCUAUAGAAAACCCUAAUUUAAAUUACCGGGUUUAAUUACGAUGUUAUUGUAUAAAUGUUUUAAUUUACCAAAGGAUAGAAAUUAAUUGGUAAAUGGUAAGAAUUAUAAUCUAAUGGUUAAAUAUUACAUUUAAUUGCUAUGUACAAAAAUGCCCAUGAAAUUAUAUGCGAAAUUACCAAAUUACCCUUUUUGGUUUAUUAGUGUAUUAUUAGUUACAUUGUUGAUGGAAUCUUGCCAAAAAUCAUGGCCAACAUCCCUACCCUACCAAUUGAGCAUCCGAGACUCAAUUAUGC